GACGAACGCUGGCGGCGUGCUUAACACAUGCAAGUCGAACGGAAAGGCCUCUUUCGGGGGGUACUCGAGUGGCGAACGGGUGAGUAACACGUGAGUAACCUGCCCUUGACUUUGGGAUAACUUCAGGAAACUGGGGCUAAUACCGGAUAGGAGCUCCUGCUGCAUGGUGGGGGUUGGAAAGUUUCGGCGGUUGGGGAUGGACUCGCGGCUUAUCAGCUUGUUGGUGGGGUAGUGGCUUACCAAGGCUUUGACGGGUAGCCGGCCUGAGGGGGUGACCGGCCACAUUGGGACUGAGAUACGGCCCAGACUCCUACGGGAGGCAGCAGUGGGGAAUAUUGCACAAUGGGUGGAAGCCUGAUGCAGCAACGCCGGGUGCGGGAUGACGGCCUUCGGGUUGUAAACCGCUUUCGCUCAUGACGAAGCUUUGUGUGACGGUAGUGGGUAAAGAAGCACCGGCUAACUACGUG
This 467-nucleotide ribosomal RNA is filed under the name uncultured bacterium. RNAcentral describes it as "partial 16S ribosomal RNA". It matches the Rfam family "Bacterial small subunit ribosomal RNA", at positions 28 to 507 of the family's 1533-position model. The record is from RNAcentral.